GGACUACUAGGGUUUCUAAUCCUGUUUGCUCCCCUUGCUCUCGCGCCUCAGCGUCAGGUGUAAGCUAGAAAACCGCUUUCGCCACCGGUGUUCUUCCACAUAUCUACGCAUUUCACCGCUACACGUGGAAUUCCGUUUUCUCCGCCAACCCUCUAGAUUCACAGUUUCAAAUGCAGCUCCGAGGUUGAGCCCCGGAAUUUCACAUCUGACUUACAAAUCCGCCUACGCGCCCUUUACGCCCAAUAAUUCCGAUUAAUGCUUGCACCCUACGUAUUACCGCGGCUGCUGGCAC
RNAcentral lists this ribosomal RNA (292 nucleotides) under uncultured bacterium. RNAcentral's name for it is "partial 16S ribosomal RNA". The record is from RNAcentral.